GGCGNGCUUACACAUGCAAGNNNNNNCGAGAACGGUACUAGCUUGCUAGUAUGUCNGCUAAGUGGCGGACGGGUGAGUAAUGUAUAGUUAAUCUGCCCUUCGGAGAGGGAUAACUACUGGAAACGGUAGCUAAUACCUCAUACUCCUUUUACUGUAAUGGUAAUUGGGAAAUGUUUUUUCGCCAAAGGAUGAGACUAUAUGGUAUCAGGUAGUUGGUAGGGUAAGAGCCUACCAAGCCAAUGACGCCUAGCUGGUCUGAGAGGAUGAUCAGCCACACUGGUACUGAGACACGGACCAGACUCCUACGGGAGGCAGCAGUGGGGAAUAUUGCGCAAUGGAGGAAACUCUGAUGCAGCAACGCCGCGUGGAGGAUGACGCAUUUCGGUGUGUAAACUCCUUUUAUAUAGGGAAGAUAAUGACGGUACUAUAUGAAUAAGCACCGGCUAACUCCGUGCCAGCAGCCGCGGGUAAUACGGAGGGGUGCAAGCGUUACUCGGAAUCACUGGGCGGUAAAGCGCGCGCAGGNGGUUUGAUAAGUUUGGANGUGAAA
RNAcentral lists this ribosomal RNA (550 nucleotides) under uncultured bacterium. Its description in RNAcentral is "bacterial SSU rRNA". It matches the Rfam family "Bacterial small subunit ribosomal RNA", at positions 41 to 600 of the family's 1533-position model. The record is from RNAcentral.